Molecule: long non-coding RNA, 2316 nt
Organism: Equus asinus (donkey)
Lineage: Eukaryota; Metazoa; Chordata; Mammalia; Perissodactyla; Equidae
Source: Ensembl
GGGCGUGGCAAAGGGAUGAGGGUGGGACGAUGCGGUGUUGCCAUGACGACGGCUUCCGGGAGGGCAGGUUGAGGUGACUUCCGGCCGGAAGGCGAGACUCCGCGGGAAAAGCGCCUCUGGUUGGUAGACCGGUAGGUUUCUGGCUGAGGCCGUUUCCUCAAGAGCCACCGUGGGUCUGUGCUAGGGUCACGCCGCCGGCCUCCGUUUCCUUUAUCCUCCUCUCUCACCAAACGCUUUUCCCGUCCAGUUAUAAAGUCAAGUUGUUUCCCUAAGGAAGAUUAGCCCUGAGCUGACAUCUGCUGCCAGUCCUUCUCUUUUUGCUGAGGAAGAGUGGUCCUAAGCUAACAUCUGUACCCAUCUUCCUCUAUUUUAUGUCUGGGACGCCUGCCACAGCAUAGCUCAGAAUUCAUCAUUUUGAAGAUACAAUUACUACUUCACUUUAACAAACAGAUGCAUCCCAUUCAAAACAACACGUACCACCCAACCAGGACAGUAGAAUCUCUUCUGAAAAUGCCCUCAAACCAUCUCACUUGGCUCAGGCUCCCAAACUGGAUGUGAAAUGAUGGGAAAAGAGAAAAGCAUGAGAGCAUUAGAAAAGGGAGGAAGAGGAAGACCGUCUUUUGGGCUGGAGUAGUCAUCAUGUUCAGAGAGGUUACAUCUCAGCACUUCUCAUCAUGGCCAAAAGGAAUGUUUCUGUUCAGCUGACUGUCAUGAGUUUCUUUUGUAAAGGAAAUGAUUUGGGGAAAGGGUUCAUAGCGGGAGUGAGAGAUUACAUUUAAAGAUAUAUUUCUUCUCCAAGUAAAAAUGAAGACAUUGACAGAGAUGUUUUUGUCCACUUAUUGAUUUAUACACUAUAUUUAAAAUUUUCCCAGAACUUCAAAGGAUGUGUUCCCUGGGGUUCAAAUAAAUUUGCAUCAGCAGCUUUGGUAUUGAUUAUUCAGAAAAAUACAGAAACCCUUUUCCUACUCCGUUAUUAGACGUGAGCAGUGACUUUACAGAGGGGUUCAUGCCCUAAUAUAAACAAUAUGGCCAAUAUUUAUUUGAUUUAUUAAAAAAAAAAAAAGAUCUGAAGAACUGUGCCUCUUUAUGCCUGGUUUCACUUACUACUAUAGAUUUUGAAGGCUCAAGCUAAAGUUGAAGCCGACCAGUUUGAAGAUCCUUUGCCUGUUCUUAUAAGUGGAGCUCUUUCAGGGUAAUUCCAGGGAGAUUUGCUGUAGGUAACAUUAGACAGACACUGAACAUAAUGUAGGAUGGAUGCAAACUGAAAGAGUGAUCUUGGGGAUCAUUCAACGUUGAAAAGCCUUUGAUUGUCUUGACUGGAGCUUCUUCUGGAAGAUGUACUGAAUGAGUCUGGGAUCAAAACCAAUUUCUCAGGUUUGAUGCAGUUGUAAUAUGGAAAUCCACCAGAUUCUGCUAUGACUAAUUAGAGAUGUGUGAAGAGGGUUUCUCUUUUCCAACAUUAUUGAUUUUUCUUUCAAACCCCCCAGUUUCACACAGAAAAUCUCUGGCAUUUAAAAGUGUUCAAUUUAGUACAGUUCACUGAUGCAUGUAAUCUUUGCUAACUGCAUCCCAUUUUCUCUGAACUUGGUUUUUCAGGCCCUCUUAUGUUCCGGGUAUAUUUGAGAUUUACUUUAGGUUUUAAGUAAAAUCAAAGAUGCACCCAGGACAUCUGAACACUGAGAGGAUAAAUUUAAUAUUUGGAUUUUUUUUAGUUAGAAUUUUUUCCUUCCCUCCGUUGGAAAUAUAGGAAAUUAUCCAAGCCCAGAAAUAAAGAAGUAUAAUUUUAAAAAGUGGAUUCUACAGAAUCUAAGCUUACAAAUCAGUCGAGGGAUUUGUUUAUGUCUUCAAUCUCAUCUGUCCUGGAAAAAGUGAGAAAAUUAAGAUGGAUAAUAGCACCUGGAAAUUUACGACAUUGGGGAAAAAUCUGUGAUUGAAUAGCAUAACUCAGGUAUAAGCUAUGGCUCUUUGCCACCUCAACUCCUCUCUUCCCACUGCAUCUUUUAACAUUGCCUCAUAUCUCUUAGGCUAUUGUGGACAGAUAUCAUACCCUGUAACUUCUCAUUAAAGUCAGAGCCAUAUGCUGGCAUUUUAUGUUUUCUGCUCCUCUCAUAUGAGGAAAGAUGCUAGACAGAUGUAUCAGAUGAUAAACAUUGCAUAUUGAGAGUGAAGCCUUUUUCUCUUUGAAUUUAAGAUAAUGUAAUGUAUAAGAGUAUAUCUUUAAUUGAACAUUUUCUUCUCCUCUGUCAUAUGGGAACUUUUCUUUGUCCUCAGUUUUCUCUUCUCAAGAAAUAAAUUGUAGAAGACCUAGAGGAAAAA